RNAcentral lists this ribosomal RNA (715 nucleotides) under uncultured bacterium. RNAcentral describes it as "bacterial SSU rRNA". It matches the Rfam family "Bacterial small subunit ribosomal RNA", at positions 96 to 798 of the family's 1533-position model. The record is from RNAcentral.
CGGCGGACGGGUGAGUAACACGUGGGUAACCUGCCCAAGAGACUGGGAUAACACCUGGAAACAGAUGCUAAUACCGGAUAACAACACUAGACGCAUGUCUAGAGUUUGAAAGAUGGUUCUGCUAUCACUCUUGGAUGGACCUGCGGUGCAUUAGCUAGUUGGUAAGGUAACGGCUUACCAAGGCAAUGAUGCAUAGCCGAGUUGAGAGACUGAUCGGCCACAUUGGGACUGAGACACGGCCCAAACUCCUACGGGAGGCAGCAGUAGGGAAUCUUCCACAAUGGACGAAAGUCUGAUGGAGCAACGCCGCGUGAGUGAAGAAGGGUUUCGGCUCGUAAAGCUCUGUUGGUAGUGAAGAAAGAUAGAGGUAGUAACUGGCCUUUAUUUGACGGUAAUUACUUAGAAAGUCACGGCUAACUACGUGCCAGCAGCCGCGGUAAUACGUAGGUGGCAAGCGUUGUCCGGAUUUAUUGGGCGUAAAGCGAGUGCAGGCGGUUCAAUAAGUCUGAUGUGAAAGCCUUCGGCUCAACCGGAGAAUUGCAUCAGAAACUGUUGAACUUGAGUGCAGAAGAGGAGAGUGGAACUCCAUGUGUAGCGGUGGAAUGCGUAGAUAUAUGGAAGAACACCAGUGGCGAAGGCGGCUCUCUGGUCUGCAACUGACGCUGAGGCUCGAAAGCAUGGGUAGUGAACAGGAUUAGAUACCCUGGUAGUCCAU